RNAcentral lists this non-coding RNA (31 nucleotides) under Mus musculus (house mouse). The record is from RNAcentral. Lineage: Eukaryota; Metazoa; Chordata; Mammalia; Rodentia; Muridae.
UCUGAGUGGAGUUGGGAUGAGAAGCAUCGCU